AAGUCGAGCGAACAGAUAAGGAGCUUGCUCCUUUGACGUUAGCGGCGGACGGGUGAGUAACACGUGGAUAACCUACCUAUAAGACUGGGAUAACUUCGGGAAACCGGAGCUAAUACCGGAUAACAUAUUGAACCGCAUGGUUCAAUAGUGAAAGGCGGCUUUGCUGUCACUUAUAGAUGGAUCCGCGCCGUAUUAGCUAGUUGGUAAGGUAACGGCUUACCAAGGCAACGAUACGUAGCCGACCUGAGAGGGUGAUCGGCCACACUGGAACUGAGACACGGUCCAGACUCCUACGGGAGGCAGCAGUAGGGAAUCUUCCGCAAUGGGCGAAAGCCUGACGGAGCAACGCCGCGUGAGUGAUGAAGGUCUUCGGAUCGUAAAACUCUGUUAUCAGGGAAGAACAAAUGUGUAAGUAACUGUGCACAUCUUGACGGUACCUGAUCAGAAAGCCACGGCUAACUACGUGCCAGCAGCCGCGGUAAUACGUAGGUGGCAAGCGUUAUCCGGAAUUAUUGGGCGUAAAGCGCGCGUAGGCGGUUUUUUAAGUCUGAUGUGAAAGCCCACGGCUCAACCGUGGAGGGUCAUUGGAAACUGGAAAACUUGAGUGCAGAAGAGGAAAGUGGAAUUCCAUGUGUAGCGGUGAAAUGCGCAGAGAUAUGGAGGAACACCAGUGGCGAAGGCGACUUUCUGGUCUGUAACUGACGCUGAUGUGCGAAAGCGUGGGGAUCAAACAGGAUUAGAUACCCUGGUAGUCCACGCCGUAAACGAUGAGUGCUAAGUGUUAGGGGGUUUCCGCCCCUUAGUGCUGCAGCUAACGCAUUAAGCACUCCGCCUGGGGAGUACGACCGCAAGGUUGAAACUCAAAGGAAUUGACGGGGACCCGCACAAGCGGUGGAGCAUGUGGUUUAAUUCGAAGCAACGCGAAGAACCUUACCAAAUCUUGACAUCCUUUGACCGCUCUAGAGAUAGAGUCUUCCCCUUCGGGGGACAAAGUGACAGGUGGUGCAUGGUUGUCGUCAGCUCGUGUCGUGAGAUGUUGGGUUAAGUCCCGCAACGAGCGCAACCCUUAAGCUUAGUUGCCAUCAUUAAGUUGGGCACUCUAAGUUGACUGCCGGUGACAAACCGGAGGAAGGUGGGGAUGACGUCAAAUCAUCAUGCCCCUUAUGAUUUGGGCUACACACGUGCUACAAUGGACAAUACAAAGGGC
RNAcentral lists this ribosomal RNA (1207 nucleotides) under Staphylococcus warneri. Its description in RNAcentral is "bacterial SSU rRNA". It matches the Rfam family "Bacterial small subunit ribosomal RNA", at positions 59 to 1247 of the family's 1533-position model. Lineage: Bacteria; Bacillati; Bacillota; Bacilli; Caryophanales; Staphylococcaceae. The record is from RNAcentral.